This 255-nucleotide ribosomal RNA is filed under the name uncultured bacterium. RNAcentral's name for it is "partial 16S ribosomal RNA". It matches the Rfam family "Bacterial small subunit ribosomal RNA", at positions 524 to 776 of the family's 1533-position model. The record is from RNAcentral.
UACGUAGGGCGCAAGCGUUAUCCGGAAUUAUUGGGCGUAAAGAGCUCGUAGGCGGCUUGUCGCGUCGAAUGUGAAAUCUCAGGGCUCAACUCUGACAUUGCAUUCGAUACGGGCAGGCUAGAGUUCGGUAGGGGAGACUGGAAUUCCUGGUGUAGCGGUGGAAUGCGCAGAUAUCAGGAGGAACACCGAUGGCGAAGGCAGAUCUCUGGGCCGUAACUGACGCUGAGGAGCGGAAAGCGUGGGGGAGCGAACAGG